UAAGGAAUAUUGGUCAAUGGACGCAAGUCUGAACCAGCCAUGCCGCGUGGAGGGUGAAGGCCCUCUGGGUUGUAAACUUCUUUUAUGGGGGGACGAAAUCACUUAUUCUUAAGUGUCUGACGGUACCCCAGGAAUAAGCACCGGCUAACUCCGUGCCAGCAGCCGCGGUAAUACGGAGGGUGCAAGCGUUAUCCGGAUUCACUGGGUUUAAAGGGUGCGUAGGAGGGCAGGAAAGUCAGUGGUGAAAUCCUAGGGCUUAACUCUAGAACUGCCGUUGAUACUACUUGUCUUGAAUAUCGUGGAGGUGAGCGGAAUAUGUCAUGUAGCGGUGAAAUGCUUAGAUAUGACAUAGAACACCAAUUGCGAAGGCAGCUCACUACACGAAUAUUGACUCUGAGGGCACGAAAGCGUGGGGAUCAAAACAGGAUUAGAUACCCUGGUAGUCCACGCCCUAAACUAUGGAUACUCGACAUACGCGAUACACUGUGUGUGUCUGAGCGAAAGCAUUAAGUAUCCCACCUGGGAAGUACGACCGCAAGGUUGAAACUUAAAGGAAUUGACGGGGGUCAUAGCUGUUUCCU
Molecule: ribosomal RNA, 581 nt
Filed under: uncultured bacterium
Lineage: Bacteria
Description: partial 16S ribosomal RNA
Rfam family: Bacterial small subunit ribosomal RNA
Source: RNAcentral